This is a long non-coding RNA of Erigeron canadensis, 1148 nucleotides long. RefSeq lists it as uncharacterized. NCBI's taxonomy places the organism in Eukaryota, Viridiplantae, Streptophyta, Magnoliopsida, Asterales, Asteraceae. The transcript is spliced from 4 exons. The record is from RefSeq and is a predicted model, not a curated record.
GGUUCCAUUCCAGUUGGUCUAUAGUAUCUUUCAUCUACAUCUUUUUCUUUUCUCCUGCACUCACAAAACAAUGCAGCCAUCAAGAUCUGGAAAAUGGAACGGAGCUCAUUCAUCUCCUUUUUCAUCUCCUCAUCUGAAUCCCACUAUCUUACCGGCGUUAAAUUCUCUCAUGAUCUGUAUUUUGUUAGUUUCCACUAUAUCCACCCAUCAUCACUGUCUCCCUCGCGGCCACCACAUAAUCUCCCACCACCAACAACCACCAUCGCACCUCCAGUUCAAAAUCUUUGCCGUUGACGCCGCCAACCUUUCAAUUACGAAUCAAAAAUUUCAACCCACUUUGCCAAACCAAAAACCCGCAAAAUUGACAUUUUGGGGUUUGGAAAUUGCGACCAGUUUUGAGCUAAAACCGUCCUCGCACAAUAUCGUGUAGAUUGCUCAAGAUAACCCAAGUUUGUUGAUGUCAUCAACUACACCGAGUCUUGUCAUGGAUCCGGUCAUUGUCAAAUUAGCGGAUUAUCUAGUUUUUCUUUCCCUUAUUGUUUUGUUUAUUCCUGAAAUUCUGGUAACCUUCUGUUGAUGUUAAUCAUCUCAAAAUACGUCAUCUCCCUGGAAAUGAAAAGUUUUUAUUAGCUUCAUUGGUGUGGCUAGGGAAAGGGUUCGGAUAUGAUCACAAAGAUGCUCUGGUACGUGAUUAGAGAAAACUUCCUACUUUUACCAUUUAUAACACAAUAAUUAAGCUACUUACUUUUCGUGGUUUACUUUGUAAUAUUACGAAUGUUACUCUUGGGUCUAUAUAUCUAUGUCUACAUUGCCUGUGGAAAGUUUUGAUUUUUAUUUCAGGUUACAUGGGAACGGCUUGGUUUCCGAAUUCUGCCAGGAAAGAUAAAUUGCAGCUAUAUCAUUGGUAGUGACGAGAAUAUGUGAAUCAAGGCUCAUGAAAAGGUUACACCAAAUAAAGUAGCAGCAAUAGUACUGACACUAACGGUACUAACACUAACGGACCGAAAGCUCCUAAUAUCAAGUAUGCUUCAGUGCCGGCUUAAUUGUUUUGGGGGCUUUAGGUGAGACCAAUUUUGGAGGCCUUGUUCAUUAACAUAUAAAUUAAGUGUAACGGCUUUUAAGAUUCACAAAUACAUUUUAUUUCAUUA